Molecule: long non-coding RNA, 882 nt
Organism: Pomacea canaliculata
Lineage: Eukaryota; Metazoa; Mollusca; Gastropoda; Architaenioglossa; Ampullariidae
Exons: 4
Source: RefSeq, a predicted model, not a curated record
GAAGAGCGCAAGCAAGAGAAACACAGGAUGAAGGAACGUUUGUCUUAUUACUAAUACCGUGGUACUUACAGUAAUUAUGACUGUUAUGCCAACAAUGGCAGAGGUCUGUCUGAGAUUUGAUACCUGUAAAUGUAAAGCAGGAUCUUUUACGGUGGAUUUAACUCAACUUUUGGAUGGCACAAAUCCGAGGCAUGCAGAUUUACUUCAUUCUACAAGUGUGAUCUAGUCAUAUGACACAUGUCCCGUGACAGUGUUGUACGCUGCAGUGUUUUGCAGCUUUAUCAACUUUGUGUUGAAAGAUAAUUUUAAGUACUCUUGAUUUGUGGAGGUGUAUCUUGUCAUCGCAUAUAAUCGUAAAACUAUCAUUACAUGCUAUUGUCGCUGCUUAUCAAUUCUUCGCACCUCUUUGAUGGCGUGUGUGUGGAUGGGGUGCGCACUUGAGUGAACGUAUUCAAACGUCUGUACGUGCAUCAGUAUGUGUGUAUUGCGCGUCUAGCAAAAGAAAUUGAACAUCGCCAUUAAGAAACAAUUGCCUGUUUGAUGGAUUGGAAACAGUGUCUCAACCCAUGUUUGCCGUUCUGGACCCUAAGAGUGACAAACAUCAGAUGUUUUACUAUAUGCCUUGCCAGCCUUGACAUCUCAAAUUACUGUAAAACCCUUCAUCUUCCAUCAAUGUGGCUGUUUGUCAGAUGACAAAUCCUCCGAAUCCUGACUCCUUUGACCUAGGUGACAUAAACACAGAAAAAUUCUCUGGAGAUCCAAUGAAUGGAACCCUCAGUAUCACCUAUCAAACACCAGACGAAAGAUAUACUAGCAUCUUGUUACAGUGUGGUGAUGACACCAGAAUGGAAUUCAUCUCAGAAUUCCCAACAAAAACAUAUG